AGCGUUGUGACUUAUUUAUUUAGGGCGCCUGUUUACUAAAAAGGAGAGUGUGAGUUAAAAUCUCACCGGUGCUU
This 74-nucleotide transfer RNA is filed under the name Ixodes scapularis (black-legged tick). It matches the Rfam family "tRNA". Rfam says of the family: Transfer RNA (tRNA) molecules are approximately 80 nucleotides in length. Their secondary structure includes four short double-helical elements and three loops (D, anti-codon, and T loops). Further hydrogen bonds mediate the characteristic L-shaped molecular structure. tRNAs have two regions of fundamental functional importance: the anti-codon, which is responsible for specific mRNA codon recognition, and the 3' end, to which the tRNAs corresponding amino acid is attached (by aminoacyl-tRNA synthetases). tRNAs cope with the degeneracy of the genetic code in two manners: having more than one tRNA (with a specific anti-codon) for a particular amino acid; and 'wobble' base-pairing, i.e. permitting non-standard base-pairing at the 3rd anti-codon position. Lineage: Eukaryota; Metazoa; Arthropoda; Arachnida; Ixodida; Ixodidae. The record is from Rfam by way of RNAcentral.